Molecule: ribosomal RNA, 492 nt
Filed under: uncultured bacterium
Lineage: Bacteria
Description: partial 16S ribosomal RNA
Rfam family: Bacterial small subunit ribosomal RNA
Source: RNAcentral
AGUGAACGCUGGCGGUAGGCCUAACACAUGCGAGUCGAACGGCAGCACAGUAAGAGCUUGCUCUUACGGGUGGCGAGUGGCGGACGGGUGAGGAAUACAUCGGAAUCUACUUUUUCGUGGGGGAUAACGUAGGGAAACUUACGCUAAUACCGCAUACGACCUACGGGUGAAAGCAGGGGAUCUUCGGACCUUGCGCGAUUGAAUGAGCCGAUGUCGGAUUAGCUAGUUGGCGGGGUAAAGGCCGACCAAGGCGACGAUCCGUAGCUGGUCUGAGAGGAUGAUCAGCCACACUGGAACUGAGACACGGUCCAGACUCCUACGGGAGGCAGCAGUGGGGAAUAUUGGACAAUGGGCGCAAGCCUGAUCCAGCCAUACCGCGUGGGUGAAGAAGGCCUUCGGGUUGUAAAGCCCUUUUGUUGGGAAAGAAAAGCAGCAGGUUAAUACCCCGCUGUUCUGACGGUACCCAAAGAAUAAGCACCGGCUAACUUCGUG